Molecule: ribosomal RNA, 785 nt
Filed under: uncultured bacterium
Lineage: Bacteria
Description: bacterial SSU rRNA
Rfam family: Bacterial small subunit ribosomal RNA
Source: RNAcentral
UACUCGAGCGGCGAACGGGUGAGUAACACGUGAGUAAUCUGCCCCUAGCUCUGGGAUAGCUCCGGGAAACCGGGAUUAAUACCGGAUACGACCACCUUAGACAUCUUUUGUGGUGGAAAGAAUUUCGGCUAGGGAUGAGCUCGCGGCCUAUCAGCUUGUUGGUGGGGUAACGGCCUACCAAGGCGACGACGGGUAGCCGGCCUGAGAGGGCGACCGGCCACACUGGGACUGAGACACGGCCCAGACUCCUACGGGAGGCAGCAGUGGGGAAUAUUGCGCAAUGGGCGAAAGCCUGACGCAGCGACGCCGCGUGGGGGAUGAAGGCCUUCGGGUUGUAAACCCCUUUCAGCAGGGACGAAGCGAAAGUGACGGUACCUGCAGAAGAAGCGCCGGCUAACUACGUGCCAGCAGCCGCGGUAACACGUAGGGCGCAAGCGUUGUCCGGAAUUAUUGGGCGUAAAGAGCUCGUAGGCGGUCUGUUGCGUCCGCUGUGAAAACUCGGGGCUUAACCCCGAGCCUGCAGUGGAUACGGGCAGACUAGAGGUAGGUAGGGGAGAAUGGAAUUCCCGGUGUAGCGGUGAAAUGCGCAGAUAUCGGGAGGAACACCGGUGGCGAAGGCGGUUCUCUGGGCCUUACCUGACGCUGAGGAGCGAAAGCGUGGGGAGCGAACAGGAUUAGAUACCCUGGUAGUCCACGCCGUAAACGUUGGGCGCUAGGUGUGGGAUCCUUCCACGGAUUCCGUGCCGCAGCUAACGCAUUAAGCGCCCCGCCUGGGGAGUACGGCC